RNAcentral lists this ribosomal RNA (530 nucleotides) under Bifidobacterium longum subsp. suillum. RNAcentral describes it as "bacterial SSU rRNA". Lineage: Bacteria; Bacillati; Actinomycetota; Actinomycetes; Bifidobacteriales; Bifidobacteriaceae. The record is from RNAcentral.
GGUAAUGCCGGAUGCUCCAGUUGAUCGCAUGGUCUUCUGGGAAAGCUUUCGCGGUAUGGGAUGGGGUCGCGUCCUAUCAGCUUGACGGCGGGGUAACGGCCCACCGUGGCUUCGACGGGUAGCCGGCCUGAGAGGGCGACCGGCCACAUUGGGACUGAGAUACGGCCCAGACUCCUACGGGAGGCAGCAGUGGGGAAUAUUGCACAAUGGGCGCAAGCCUGAUGCAGCGACGCCGCGUGAGGGAUGGAGGCCUUCGGGUUGUAAACCUCUUUUAUCGGGGAGCAAGCGWGAGUGAGUUUACCCGUUGAAUAAGCACCGGCUAACUACGUGCCAGCAGCCGCGGUAAUACGUAGGGUGCAAGCGUUAUCCGGAAUUAUUGGGCGUAAAGGGCUCGUAGGCGGUUCGUCGCGUCCGGUGUGAAAGUCCAUCGCUUAACGGUGGAUCCGCGCCGGGUACGGGCGGGCUUGAGUGCGGUAGGGGAGACUGGAAUUCCCGGUGUAACGGUGGAAUGUGUAGAUAUCGAAAAAAAA